CCGAGUUAUCCAACUCCCAACCCCUGUGAACUAUACCUAUACUGUUGCCUCGGCGGAUCAGCCCCCUUACGGACGGCCCGCCGCAGGACCCAUAACCUCUGAAUUUUUAAUUAAGUAUCUUCUGAGUGGUUAAAAACAAUGAAUCA
RNAcentral lists this unclassified non-coding RNA (146 nucleotides) under soil metagenome. RNAcentral describes it as "partial internal transcribed spacer 1". The record is from RNAcentral.